RNAcentral lists this ribosomal RNA (253 nucleotides) under uncultured bacterium. Its description in RNAcentral is "partial 16S ribosomal RNA". It matches the Rfam family "Bacterial small subunit ribosomal RNA", at positions 524 to 776 of the family's 1533-position model. The record is from RNAcentral.
UACGGAGGGGGCGAGCGUUAUUCGGAAUUAUUGGGCGUAAAGGGCGCGUAGGCGGCCCGGUAAGUCAAAGGUGAAAUCCCUCGGCUCAACUGAGGAACUGCCUUUGAAACUGUCGGGCUUGAGGCCGGGAGGGGGUAGCGGAAUUCCCAGUGUAGCGGUGAAAUGCGUAGAGAUGUGGAGGAACACCAGUGGCGAAGGCGGCUUUCUGGUCUGUAACUGACGCUGAGGCGCGAAAGCGUGGGGAGCAAACAGG